This 434-nucleotide ribosomal RNA is filed under the name uncultured bacterium. RNAcentral describes it as "partial 16S ribosomal RNA". It matches the Rfam family "Bacterial small subunit ribosomal RNA", at positions 29 to 507 of the family's 1533-position model. The record is from RNAcentral.
AGCGAACGCUGGCGGCAGGCCUAACACAUGCAAGUCGAACGAACCUUUCGGGGUUAGUGGCGGACGGGUUUGUAACACGUGGGAACGUUCCUUUAGGGUCGGAAUAACUCAGGGAAACUUGUGCUAAUACCGAAUGUGCCCUUCGGGGGAAAGAUUUAUCGCCUUUAGAGCGUCCCGCGUCUGAUUAGCUAGUUGGGUGAGGUAAUGGCUCACCAAGGCGACGAUCAGUAGCUGGUCUGAGAGGAUGAUCAGCCACAUUGGGACUGAGACACGGCCCAAACUCCUACGGGAGGCAGCAGUGGGGAAUCUUGCGAAAUGGGGGAAAGCCUGACGCAGCCAUGCCGCGUGAAUGAUGAAGGUCUUAGGAUUGUAAAAUUCUUUCAACGGGGACGAUAAUGACGGUACCCGGAGAAGAAGCCCCGGCUAACUUCGUG